Molecule: long non-coding RNA, 1026 nt
Filed under: Vitis vinifera (wine grape)
Lineage: Eukaryota; Viridiplantae; Streptophyta; Magnoliopsida; Vitales; Vitaceae
Description: long non-coding RNA (VVIN_LNC003970)
Source: RNAcentral
CUUUUAUCAGUUCACUCAAGUCCACCAUUGAUGUACUUCGAGGGACUAUGUCAGUUGUGUCCCAGUUCACUAAAGUGUUCAAUGAUUUUCGGCUUUCUAAUGCCAUUUCAGAUUGCCUUGAGUUGCUGGAUUUUGCAGCUGAUGAUCUGAGCUGGUCCCUUUCUGCCAUUCAGAAUCCUAAAGGUAUAUACAAGUAUGGUACUUUUUUUUUGUCUUUCCCAUGUUAGAUUUCUAGUUCAACUAGCUAAAAAAGUUGAUUGUAGGUAAAGAUAACGGUACCGGCGAUCUGGGGUCGGAUUUGAAGACAUGGUUGAGCUCUACUUUCACUAAUCAGGACACAUGCAUAGAGGGAUUUGUUGGUACCAAUGGAAUUGUCAAGACAGUGGUAGCUGAAAGCCUGAGCCAAGUAGCUUCAUUAGUCCACAGCCUUCUUACUAUGGUCCAUGAUCCAGCUCCCAAAGGCAAAUCCAAUGGCGGUGGUGGCGGUGUGAAGCACGUGGGCAGCGGUGAUUUUCCAUCAUGGGUUGGCAAACACAGCAGGAAGCUCCUUCAGGCCUCAUCAGUGUCACCAGAUGUUACAGUAGCUGCAGAUGGAACUGGGAAUUAUACUACUGUGAUGGAUGCAGUCCAAGCAGCCCCUGAUUACAGCCAGAACCACUAUGUAAUCUACAUCAAGCAAGGCAUUUAUAGGGAGAAUGUGGAGAUCAAGAAGAAGAAAUGGAACCUGAUGAUGGUCGGAGAUGGGAUGGGCGCUACUGUCAUUACUGGAAACCGGAGCUACAUCGAUGGCUGGACUACAUAUGCAUCUGCAACCUUUGGUAUGAGUUCAUUGAGUUGUGUCUUAAUUUUUGGCAUGCCAUUUUCUUCCACCAUGACCCCAUGCUUUUGAAUAUAGAGAAAGAGAAAUUAAUGCUUUGCAUUCAAGUUUAGGAUGCAAAAGACUAGGAAAAAUCUCUGCCCAACUACCAACCAAGCUGGAGUCAACCUAAUAGUUUUAACUAAUUUGGCAUAAUGGAAUGCAGCUGU